Molecule: ribosomal RNA, 227 nt
Filed under: Acinetobacter thutiue
Lineage: Bacteria; Pseudomonadati; Pseudomonadota; Gammaproteobacteria; Moraxellales; Moraxellaceae
Description: partial 23S ribosomal RNA
Rfam family: Bacterial large subunit ribosomal RNA
Source: RNAcentral
AGUCAAGUAAUUAAGUGCAUGUGGUGGAUGCCUUGGCAGUCAGAGGCGAAGAAAGACGUGAUAGCCUGCGAAAAGCUCCGGGGAGGCGGCAAAUAUCCUGUGAUCCGGAGAUGUCUGAAUGGGGGAACCCACUUACCAUAAGGUAGGUAUUAUAUUCUGAAUACAUAGGAAUAUAAGGCGAACGAGGGGAAGUGAAACAUCUCAGUACCCUUAGGAAAAGAAAUCAA